AUACUUUUCUCGGCCUUUGGCUAAGAUCAAGUGUAGUAUCUGUUCUUAUUAGUUUAAUAUCUGAUACGUGGGCUUUUAGCCCAUAUGAUAUUAAAUUUAUUUCUUGAGGAGAGGGCCCAUCAUGGUAGCUCGCUACUAAUGUCUUCAAGUGUCGUCCAUGCGUUGCACUAUUCCACGGGCCUGGCACAACCCAC
Small nuclear RNA from Salvia hispanica, 194 nucleotides. RefSeq annotates it as U2 spliceosomal RNA. The record is from RefSeq and is a predicted model, not a curated record. Lineage: Eukaryota; Viridiplantae; Streptophyta; Magnoliopsida; Lamiales; Lamiaceae.